Molecule: long non-coding RNA, 1189 nt
Filed under: Salmo salar (Atlantic salmon)
Lineage: Eukaryota; Metazoa; Chordata; Actinopteri; Salmoniformes; Salmonidae
Description: lncRNA (ENSSSAG00000107664.1)
Source: RNAcentral
ACAUGUGGGGGUCAGGGAGAGAGUAAAGUUAUGUUUUAGACUGGUGGUGGUCAGGGAGAGAGUUGAGUUAUGUUCUAGACUGGUGGGGGUCAGGGAGAGAGUUGAGUUAUGUACUAGACUGGUGGGGGUCAGGGAGAGAGUUGAGUUAUGUACUAGACUGGUGGGGGUCAGGGAGAGAGUCGAGUUAUGUUCUAGACUGGUGGGGGUCAGGGAGAGAGUUAUGUACUAGACUGGUGGGGGUCAGGGAGAGAGUUGAGUUAUGUUCUAGACUGGUGGGGGUCAGGGAGAGAGUAGCGUUAUGUUUUAGACUGGUGGUGGUCAGGGAGAGAGUUGAGUUAUGUUCUAGACUGGUGGGGGUCAGGGAGAGAGUUGAGUUAUGUACUAGACUGGUGGGGGUCAGGGAGAGAGUUGAGUUAUGUACUAGACUGGUGGGGGUCAGGGAGAGAGUCGAGUUAUGUUCUAGACUGGUGGGGGUCAGGGAGAGAGUUAUGUACUAGACUGGUGGGGGUCAGGGAGAGAGUUGAGUUAUGUUCUAGACUGGUGGGGGUCAGGGAGAGAGUAGAGUUAUGUACUAGACUGGUGGGGGUCAGGGCGAGAGUUGAGUUAUGUACUAGACUGGUGGGGGUCAGGGAGAGAGUUAUGUACUAGACUGAUGGGGGUCAGGGAGAGAGUUGAGUUAUGUUCUAGACUGGUGGGGGUCAGGGAGAGAGGUGAGUUAUGUACUAGACGGGUGGGGGUCAGGGAGAGAGAUAUGUACUACACUGGUGGGGGUCAGGGAGAGAGUUGAGUUAUGUUCUAGACUGGUGAGGGUCAGGGAGAGAGUUGAGUUAUGUUCUAGACUGGUGGGGGUCAGCGAGAGAGGUGAGUUAUGUAAUAGACUGGUGGGGGUCAGGGAGAGAGUUAUGUACUAGACUGGUGGGGGUCAGGGAGAGAGUUGAGUUAUGUACUAGAUUGCUGGGGGUCAGGGAGAGAGUUGAGUUAUGUUCUAGACUUGUGGGGGUCAGGGAGAGAGUAGCGUUAUGUUUUAGACUGGUGGUGGUCAGGGAGAGAGUUAAGUUAUGUUCUAGACUGGUGGGGGUCAGGGAGAGAGUUGAGUUAUGUUCUAGACUGGUGGGGGUCAGGGAGAGAGGUGAGUUUUGUACUAGAUGGGUGGGGGUCAGGGAGAGAGAUAUGUACUACACUGGUGGGG